GGUGAGGUAUCCAAGUGGCUGAAGGAGCACGCCUGGAAAGUGUGUAACGGAAAAACGUAUCGAGGGUUCGAAUCCCUCUCUCACCGCCA
Molecule: transfer RNA, 89 nt
Filed under: Arsenophonus endosymbiont of Aleurodicus dispersus
Lineage: Bacteria; Pseudomonadati; Pseudomonadota; Gammaproteobacteria; Enterobacterales; Morganellaceae
Description: tRNA-Ser
Rfam family: tRNA
About the family: Transfer RNA (tRNA) molecules are approximately 80 nucleotides in length. Their secondary structure includes four short double-helical elements and three loops (D, anti-codon, and T loops). Further hydrogen bonds mediate the characteristic L-shaped molecular structure. tRNAs have two regions of fundamental functional importance: the anti-codon, which is responsible for specific mRNA codon recognition, and the 3' end, to which the tRNAs corresponding amino acid is attached (by aminoacyl-tRNA synthetases). tRNAs cope with the degeneracy of the genetic code in two manners: having more than one tRNA (with a specific anti-codon) for a particular amino acid; and 'wobble' base-pairing, i.e. permitting non-standard base-pairing at the 3rd anti-codon position.
Source: RNAcentral